GAUGAACGCUAGCGAUAGGCUUAACACACGCAAGUCGAGGGGCAGCACAAGGUAGCUUGCUAUCUGGGUGGCGACCGGCGCACGGGUGCGUAACGCGUAUGCAACUUGCCCUAUACAGGAGGAUAACCCGUCGAAAGACGGACUAAUACUGCGUAUGCUCACAACUUGGCAUCAAGUGGUGAGGAAAGAAAUUCGGUAUAGGAUAGGCAUGCGUCCCAUUAGCUUGUUGGUGAGGUAACGGCUCACCAAGGCAACGAUGGGUAGGGGAACUGAGAGGUUUAUCCCCCACACUGGUACUGAGACACGGACCAGACUCCUACGGGAGGCAGCAGUGAGGAAUAUUGGUCAAUGGGCGCGAGCCUGAACCAGCCAAGUCGCGUGAAGGAUGACUGUCUUAUGGAUUGUAAACUUCUUUUAUACGGGAAUAACAAGAGUCACGUGUGACUCCCUGCAUGUACCGUAUGAAUAAGCAGCGGCUAACUCCGUG
RNAcentral lists this ribosomal RNA (487 nucleotides) under uncultured bacterium. Its description in RNAcentral is "partial 16S ribosomal RNA". It matches the Rfam family "Bacterial small subunit ribosomal RNA", at positions 28 to 507 of the family's 1533-position model. The record is from RNAcentral.